Molecule: ribosomal RNA, 425 nt
Filed under: uncultured prokaryote
Description: bacterial SSU rRNA
Rfam family: Bacterial small subunit ribosomal RNA
Source: RNAcentral
UGCUGAAUUAUUCGCCAAUGCGCGAAAGCGUGACGGUGCGACGCCGCGUGCGGGACGAAGGCCUUCGGGUUGUAAACCGCUGUCAGGGUAUAGAAAACCUUUCGGGUUAAUAGCCCGGAAGCUGAUCAUACCCAAAGGAAGCACAGGCUAACCUCGUGCCAGCAGCCGCGGUAAUACGAGGUGUGCAAGCGUUGUUCGGAAUUACUGGGCGUAAAGGGCGCGUAGGCGGUUGUGUUAGUCAGAUGUGAAAUACUUCAGCUUAACUGAAGAACUGCAUUUGAUACUGCACGACUAGAGUACAGGAGAGGGAAAUGGAAUUCCCGGUGUAGAGGUGAAAUUCGUAGAUAUCGGGAGGAACACCAGUGGCGAAGGCGAUUUCCUGGCCUGAUACUGACGCUGAGGCGCGAAAGCGUGGGGAGCAAACA